UACGAAGGGGGCUAGCGUUGUUCGGAAUUACUGGGCGUAAAGCGCACGUAGGCGGAUAUUUAAGUCAGGGUGAAAUCCCGGGGCUCAACCCCGGAACUGCCUUUGAUACUGGGUAUCUCGAGUCCGAGAGAGGUGAGUGGAAUUCCGAGUGUAGAGGUGAAUGCGUAGAUAUUGCUCGGAAGGCCAACGGCGAAGGCAGGUUACUGGUGCGCAACUGACACUGAGGCACGAAAGCGUGGGGAGCAAACAGG
Molecule: ribosomal RNA, 251 nt
Filed under: uncultured bacterium
Lineage: Bacteria
Description: partial 16S ribosomal RNA
Rfam family: Bacterial small subunit ribosomal RNA
Source: RNAcentral